CAACUGUAAAUGAUCCAAAUCCUGAAGGCCAUGAAACCAUAGCAAGACUUUUUGGAAGCAAACAUGACAGCAAGUUCCCCAGUCUUUGUUCUGGAGCCAAGAAUAGUAAUUUGACAUUGACGGUGCAAAAUCGUCCUCUGCCACUUCUGACAGUCGGGGUAAAGGGAUUUUUGGCCUAAGGGGGGCAGAAGAAAGAAGAGGACAUGUUAUAUAUUCAUCAUUUGGC
Molecule: long non-coding RNA, 226 nt
Filed under: Prunus persica (peach)
Lineage: Eukaryota; Viridiplantae; Streptophyta; Magnoliopsida; Rosales; Rosaceae
Description: long non-coding RNA (PPER_LNC005866)
Source: RNAcentral